This 424-nucleotide long non-coding RNA is filed under the name Capra hircus (goat). RNAcentral describes it as "lncRNA (ENSCHIG00000004738.1)". Lineage: Eukaryota; Metazoa; Chordata; Mammalia; Artiodactyla; Bovidae. The record is from RNAcentral.
UCUUUAUCCCUCCCUGUUGCUUCUUUUCCUCUCUGUUAGCAAGUCCGGAGCAGGGUUGCUGGGAUGAGAUCGAAGCAUGACACUGCUCGUACCCGUUGACCAAGUCAUAGAGCGAGCAAGGUAUCUGCUCAGUCCUCCUGAGACUCAGUUGGCUUACCAGAAGAGGCACACAUGAAGAGCUUCAUUGAAUUACUGAAGAUAAGGUCCCUGGUCAAGCAGCAGGAUUGAGGAAGGGCUGGAAGAAAGGACUUGCCCUGGACUCAGGAACAUGCUCUGCAAAGAGCCUUUAGAGCUGCUCCUUCCAUCCCAUCGUCCAGAAUUUAGUUUCAUGGCCUCCCAUAGCUGCUGAGGAACCUGAGAGAGGAAGGCUCUAUUCUAGCUGGUCAGGUAUGUCAGCUCAAUGUCAAGGGUUUUAUUACUGUAG